RNAcentral lists this ribosomal RNA (465 nucleotides) under uncultured bacterium. RNAcentral's name for it is "partial 16S ribosomal RNA". It matches the Rfam family "Bacterial small subunit ribosomal RNA", at positions 28 to 507 of the family's 1533-position model. The record is from RNAcentral.
GACGAACGCUGGCGGCGUGCUUAACACAUGCAGGUCGAACGGAAAGGCCCUGCUUGCCGGGUACUCGAGUGGCGAACGGGUGAGUAACACGUGGGUGAUCUGCCCUGCACUUCGGGAUAAGCCUGGGAAACUGGGUCUAAUACCGGAUAGGAGCCAUUUUUAGUGUGAUGGUUGGAAAGUUUUUUCGGUGUAGGAUGAGCUCGCGGCCUAUCAGCUUGUUGGUGGGGUAAUGGCCUACCAAGGCGGCGACGGGUAGCCGGCCUGAGAGGGUGGACGGCCACAUUGGGACUGAGAUACGGCCCAGACUCCUACGGGAGGCAGCAGUGGGGAAUAUUGCACAAUGGGCGCAAGCCUGAUGCAGCGACGCCGCGGGGGGGAUGACGGCCUUCGGGUUGUAAACUCCUUUCGCUAGGGACGAAGCUUUUUGUGACGGUACCUAGAUAAGAAGCACCGGCUAACUACGUG